UCGAGAAUCUUUCGCAAUGGGCGCAAGCCUGACGAAGCGACGCCGUGUGAGCGAAGAAGGCCUUCGGGUUGUAAAGCUCUUUCGCUAGGGAACAAGAGAUAUGGGACAAUACCCCAUAGAUUUGAUGGUACUUGGUAAAGAAGCACCGGCUAACUCCGUGCCAGCAGCUGCGGUAAUACGGAGGGUGCAAGCAUUGAUCGGAAUUACUGGGCGUAAAGGGCGCGUAGGCGGUUAUGUAAGUCAGAUGUGAAAUUCCGGGGCUCAACCCCGGAGCUGCAUUUGAAACUACAUAGCUAGAGUGUAGUUAGGGUAAACGGAAUUCCACGUGUAGCGGUGAAAUGCGUAGAUAUGUGGAAGAACACCGGUGGUGAAGACGGUUUACUGGGCUAUAACUGACGCUGAGGCGCGAAAGCAUGGGGAGCAAACAGG
Molecule: ribosomal RNA, 429 nt
Filed under: uncultured bacterium
Lineage: Bacteria
Description: bacterial SSU rRNA
Rfam family: Bacterial small subunit ribosomal RNA
Source: RNAcentral